Molecule: RNA transcript, 3988 nt
Organism: Choloepus didactylus (southern two-toed sloth)
Lineage: Eukaryota; Metazoa; Chordata; Mammalia; Pilosa; Megalonychidae
Gene: ANO8
Gene name: anoctamin 8
Exons: 18
Source: RefSeq, a predicted model, not a curated record
GGCGGCGGCCCCCCGGCGCCCGCGGCUCCUGCCCUGCCCGGGCCCUCGCCAUGGCCGACGCCGCCUCCGGCGCCGGGGGCGCGUCCCUGGAGGGCGAGCGCGGCAAGCGGCCCCCUCCCGAGGGCGAGCCCGCAGCCCCGGCGGCCGGAGUUCUGGAUAAGCUUUUCGGGAAGCGGCUCCUGCAGGCGGGUCGUUAUCUGGUGUCUCACAAGGCGUGGAUGAAGACGGUGCCCACGGAGAACUGCGACGUGCUGAUGACCUUCCCAGACACCACCGAUGACCACACGCUGCUGUGGCUGCUGAACCACAUCCGCGUGGGCAUCCCCGAGCUCAUCGUGCAAGUCCGCCACCACCGCCACACGCGCGCCUACGCCUUCUUCGUCACCGCCACUUACGAGAGCCUGCUCCGAGGGGCCGACGAGCUGGGUCUGCGCAAGGCGGUGAAGGCCGAGUUCGGCGGCGGCACCCGCGGCUUCUCGUGCGAGGAGGACUUCAUCUACGAGAACGUGGAGAGUGAGCUGCGCUUCUUCACCUCCCAGGAGCGCCAGAGCAUCAUCCGGUUCUGGCUGCAGAACCUGCGCGCCAAGCAGGGCGAGGCGCUGCACAACGUGCGCUUCCUGGAGGACCAGCCAAUCAUCCCCGAGCUGGCAGCCCGCGGCAUCAUCCAGCAGGUGUUCCCGGUGCACGAGCAGCGCAUCCUGAACCGCCUCAUGAAGUCGUGGGUACAGGCCGUGUGUGAGAACCAGCCUCUCGAUGAGAUCUGCGACUACUUUGGGGUGAAGAUUGCCAUGUACUUUGCCUGGCUGGGCUUCUACACGUCGGCCAUGGUGUACCCGGCCGUGUUUGGCUCCGUCCUCUACACGUUCACGGAGGCCGAUCAGACAAGUCGGGACGUAUCCUGCGUGGUCUUUGCACUCUUCAACGUGGUCUGGUCCACGCUGUUCCUUGAGGAAUGGAAACGGAGGGGGGCGGAGCUGGCCUACAAAUGGGGGACGCUGGACUCACCGGGGGAGGCCGUGGAGGAGCCAAGGCCCCAGUUCAGGGGCGUCCGGCGCAUCAGCCCCAUCACGCGGGCCGAGGAGUUCUACUACCCGCCCUGGAAGCGGCUGCUGUUCCAGCUGCUCGUGAGCCUGCCGCUGUGCCUAGCGUCCCUCACCUGCGUCUUCCUGCUCAUGCUUGGCUGCUUCCAGCUGCAGGAGCUGGUGCUGAGUGUGAAAGGGCUGCCGCGGCUCACCCGCUUCCUGCCCAAGAUCGUGCUGGCCCUGUUGGUCAGUGCCAGCGCCGAGGGCUAUAAAAAGCUCGCCAUCUGGCUGAAUGACAUGGAGAAUUACCGGCUGGAGAGCGCCUACGAGAAGCACCUUAUCAUCAAAGUUGUCCUGUUCCAGUUUGUCAACUCGUACCUGAGCCUCUUCUACAUCGGCUUCUACCUCAAGGACAUGGAGCGUCUGAAGGAGAUGCUGGCCACCCUUCUGAUCACGCGCCAGUUCCUCCAGAACCUGCGGGAGGUGCUGCAGCCGCACCUGUACCGGCGGCUGGGCCGCGGCGAGCUGGGCCUGGGCGCUGUCUGGGAGCUGGGCCGCGACUUGCUGGGCCUGCUGACCCUGCGGCGCCCUGCGGCCCGCCGCCUGGAGCCCCAGGCCGACGAGGGGUCCGGCGGUGUCGGUGGGGGCGACCGCAAGUGCCUCAGCGGGGGCUGCGGGGCGCCCGAGGAGGAGGAGGAGGCGCUGGUGGAGCGGCGGCCGGCAGGGGAAGGCGGGGAGGCCGGGGACGGGCCGCGGGGGGACAAGGAGGAGGACGAGGAUGGAGAGGAGGACGAGGAGGAGGAAGAGGAGGACGAGGAGGAGGAAGAGGAGGGCGGCCUCCUGGACGGCGGGUUCCGGCUGAAGAAGGUCAGCUUCGCCGAGCGGGGGGCCGGCCUGAGCCCGGAGGCCCUCCUGGAGGAGGGGAGCCCCACGAUGGUGGAGAAGGGCCUGGAGCCCGGCGUGUUCACGCUGGCCGAGGACGAGGACGAGGCAGAGGGUGCUCCCGGCAGCCCCGAGCGGGAGCCCGCGGCCGUCCUGCUGCGCCGGGCGGGGGGCGAGGGCCGCGACCAGGGGCCCGACGGGGGCGCGGAGCCGGAGCCCGGCGACUCGGCCCCGAGGCAGCGGCGGCAGAACCGCGCGUCGUGGAUCGACCCGCCCGAGGAGCAGCACUCGCCCCAGCUGACCCAGGCCGAGCUGGAGAGCUGCAUGAAGAAGUACGAGGACACGUUCCAGGACUACCAGGAGAUGUUCGUGCAGUUCGGCUACGUCGUGCUCUUCUCGUCCGCCUUCCCCCUGGCCGCGCUGUGCGCCCUGGUCAACAACCUCAUCGAGAUCCGUAGCGACGCCUUCAAGCUGUGCACGGGGCUGCAGCGGCCCUUCGGGCAGCGCGUGGAGAGCAUCGGGCAGUGGCAGAAGGCGAUGGAAGUUAUGGGUGUCUUGGCUAUCGUGGUCAACUGCUAUCUGAUCGGCCAAUGCGGCCAGCUGCAGCGCCUCUUCCCCUGGCUGGGCCCGGAAGCGGCCAUCGUGUCCGUGGUGGUGCUCGAGCAUUUCGCCCUACUGCUCAAGUACCUCCUCCACGGGGCGAUCCCUGACAUCCCUGGCUGGGUGGCUGAGGAGAUGGCCAAGCUCGAGUACCAGCGUCGGGAGGCCUUCAAGAAGCACGAGCGCCAGGCCCAGCACCACUUCCAGCAGCAGCAGCGGCGGCGGCGGGAGGAGGAGGAGCGCCAGCGCCACGCGGACCACCACGCCCGGCGGGAGCGCGAGGCCUGCGGCCGGGAUGAAGCGCGGGCCGAGGGCCCCGGGCUGGACCCUGCGGCCCCCGAGAAGGCCGCGGCCAAGGCCAAGGGCGGCGGGGCGGGCGGUCCCGGUGUCGCCGAGCGGCCCAAGCGCCCAGGGUCGCUGCUGGCGCCCAACAACGUGCUCAAGCUGAAGCAGAUCAUCCCGCUGCAGGGCAAGUUCCUGUCCUCCGCGGCCGCCACCUCACCGGCCGCCAGCGCUGGCCCCGCGGCCCGGCCGCCCCCGGCCCAGUCGCCCCCGGGCGGCGACACGCGCCUGCCGGCCUUCCUCAGCUUCAAGUUCCUCAAGUCGCCCGAGACCCGGCGGGACCCCGAACGCAGCCACUCGCCGCCCAAGGCCUUCCACGCCGGCAAGCUCUUCCCCUUUGGCGGGGCCCGGGCCGAGGCCGGGACCAACGGGGCGGGCGGGCAGGCCCGGCAGGACGGGCCCCCCGGCGGCAGCGGCCGGGCCCUGCGGAGUGGGCCGCCAGACGAGGCCGCAGCUGAGGAGCCGGACGCUCCCCGGCCCGAAGGGGAAGGCGCAGGUCAUAAGCUUUAACUCGGGGCUGGGGACGCCGGCCCCGGCUUUGGUGCUGGGGGAGCGGUGGCCAGGGCUGGGGAGCCAGGGAGAGAGGCCGGGAGGAUGGGGCACGGCGAGAGCCCCCCUCAGUCUCCCUGGCUUGCACAGAGUCCAGGGCAGCAUGCCUCAACCCCCUCUCCCCCAGAGAGGGGUGCCAAAGCCCCCCGCCCCAGUGCCCUUCCAGGGGAGAACACCCCACCAUGCUCCAGUGCCUGGGGGAGGCGUCUAGCCCACCUUUCCCCCACUAGACCCCACACCCAGCUCACUCUGGGGGGACCAGACCCCCCAGGCCUCUAUGCAAAUCCCCGCCCUGCAGCCAGCGUUCCGAGGAGCCGCACCCUGGGGGGCUUGGCUGCACCCACAUUUGUGCUGCACGGAGGUGGAGGCCUCCUCCCUCUUCCCACCCCAGCCCAGCGGGGGUCCCGCAGCCCACUGAGCCGAGAGGUGGCAGCUGCAGCAGCAGGGACUUAGGGACAGCGCCGGCCCCUGUGGGCGCCCCUGGCCUCCACACCCGCCGCAGCCGGAGCCCGGCACCCCCGACACCGCCGCCUGCACCGCGGCACCCGCCCCCGACGCCGCCCGCCGGCUGCUGGCAGUGGGAUGGGCCGUGG